This 479-nucleotide ribosomal RNA is filed under the name uncultured Allobrachymonas sp. RNAcentral's name for it is "bacterial SSU rRNA". It matches the Rfam family "Bacterial small subunit ribosomal RNA", at positions 897 to 1382 of the family's 1533-position model. The record is from RNAcentral. Lineage: Bacteria; Pseudomonadati; Pseudomonadota; Betaproteobacteria; Burkholderiales; Comamonadaceae.
AAACUUAAAGGAAUUGACGGGACCCGCACAAGCGGUGGAUGAUGUGGUUAAUUCGAUACAACGCGAAGAACCUUACCCACCUUUGACAUGGCAGGAAUCCCGAAGAGAUUUGGGAGUGCUCGAAAGAGAACCUGCACACAGGUGCUGCAUGGCUGUCGUCAGCUCGUGUCGUGAGAUGUUGGGUUAAGUCCCGCAACGAGCGCAACCCUUGCCAUUAGUUGCUACGAAAGGGCACUCUAAUGGGACUGCCGGUGACAAACCGGAGGAAGGUGGGGAUGACGUCAAGUCCUCAUGGCCCUUAUAGGUGGGGCUACACACGUCAUACAAUGGCCGGUACAGAGGGUAGCCAACCCGCGAGGGGGAGCCAAUCCCACAAAGCCGGUCGUAGUCCGGAUCGCAGUCUGCAACUCGACUGCGUGAAGUCGGAAUCGCUAGUAAUCGUGGAUCAGCAUGUCACGGUGAAUACGUUCCCGGGUCUU